RNAcentral lists this ribosomal RNA (180 nucleotides) under uncultured Bacillota bacterium. RNAcentral describes it as "uncultured Firmicutes bacterium partial 16S ribosomal RNA". Lineage: Bacteria; Bacillati; Bacillota. The record is from RNAcentral.
GGGGCCGGGCUGUCUUAAAUAAAGUCAUUGUCUCAUGUGAUAACCUACUGUUCUUCCUCCAGUCUUCAGCGCUUUACCACCCGGAGGGCUUCUUCCUUCCGCGGCUGUGCUGGAUCAGGCUUUCCCCCAUUGUGCAAGAUUCCCCGCUGCUGCCUCCCGUAGGGGGAGAAAUUCUAGCGU